GACGAACGCUGGCGGCGCGCCUAACACAUGCAAGUCGAACGAGAGAGAGGGAGCUUGCUUCCUCAAUCGAGUGGCGAACGGGUGAGUAACGCGUGAGGAACCUGCCUCAAAGAGGGGGACAACAGUUGGAAACGACUGCUAAUACCGCAUAAGCCCACAGGUCGGCAUCGACCAGAGGGAAAAGGAGCAAUCCGCUUUGAGAUGGCCUCGCGUCCGAUUAGCUAGUUGGUGAGGUAACGGCCCACCAAGGCAACGAUCGGUAGCCGGACUGAGAGGUUGAACGGCCACAUUGGGACUGAGACACGGCCCAGACUCCUACGGGAGGCAGCAGUGGGGAAUAUUGCACAAUGGGGGAAACCCUGAUGCAGCGACGCCGCGUGGAGGAAGAAGGUCUUCGGAUUGUAAACUCCUGUUGUUGAGGAAGAUAAUGACGGUACUC
RNAcentral lists this ribosomal RNA (439 nucleotides) under uncultured bacterium. RNAcentral's name for it is "bacterial SSU rRNA". It matches the Rfam family "Bacterial small subunit ribosomal RNA", at positions 28 to 480 of the family's 1533-position model. The record is from RNAcentral.